AGCAGUUGCUACAUCUGUAACACUUAUAAAUUAGUAGUUUUCAAAUUCAAAUCAUCAAUCUAAUUAAUAAUUUGAAUAUGAUCCAAGCUAUUGAUCAGGUCAUGCUCUUUUUGUGUGUGAUUCCUUAGGUGUUAUUCUGUCUAAUAGUGAGACAUAUCGUGAUCUCUUUUAUAGUAUCAUCGAAACUCCUUUCGAUGGACUGAAAUGAUUCCAACUUACCCCAAUAAGGAUCGUUUAUCCGAAAAUGAUCCUAAUGAGUUCCCACGAUCUACCAAUGACGCCUAGUAGCAUGUAGUGGUAAUUCAAUAGAAUAGAAGAAUAAAUCUCUAGGUGUAGUUACCGUAUGAUACAAUCCCUCUAUCCUGAGUCUCGACUAGACGGAGGUCAUGGAGAACUCGUCAAACCCCAUCAUCAGUCAUAUGCUAGAUUGGCUCGAUUCGAGUUCAUUUAUGAAUUUCAUAAAAUUUUUUUUUUCAGUAUUCACACUUGCUCUGGUCAGAGACUUCCUGAACUUAGUCUAAUGAAUCACAUAGGAUUACACUUUUUCUAUCAAGAUUGAUAGAUUCUAUCUUGAUGUAUUCUACUCAAAUAGUAAAUCUGAACUUACUAUAGCCAACAUAUACGUCAAGGACCCAAAUGGUUAAGGACCAAAGAAAUAUGCAGUUAAACUAAGUAGCCUCACUGUGAAUAGCCAGCAUACUGUAGGUCAAAGGAUCAGUCACACCACUAUAGUAUCGAGAAAAUCAUUGACGAGUGAGUAGACAUUCAAGUAAUU
Molecule: long non-coding RNA, 775 nt
Filed under: Elaeis guineensis (African oil palm)
Lineage: Eukaryota; Viridiplantae; Streptophyta; Magnoliopsida; Arecales; Arecaceae
Description: long non-coding RNA (EGUI_LNC050103)
Source: RNAcentral